This 468-nucleotide ribosomal RNA is filed under the name uncultured bacterium. Its description in RNAcentral is "partial 16S ribosomal RNA". It matches the Rfam family "Bacterial small subunit ribosomal RNA", at positions 28 to 507 of the family's 1533-position model. The record is from RNAcentral.
GACGAACGCUGGCGGCGUGCUUAACACAUGCAAGUCGAACGGAAAGGCCCUGCGUUUGCGGGGUGCUCGAGUGGCGAAGGGGGGAGUAACACGUGAGUAACCUGUCCCUGACUUGGGGAUAACUUCAGGAAACAGGGGCUAAUAUCGGAUAGGAGCUAUUGCUGCAUGGUGGGGGUUGGAAAGUUUCGGCGGUUGGGGAUGGACUCGCGGCUUAUCAGCUUGUUGGUGGGGUAGUGGCUUACCAAGGCUUUGACGGGUAGCCGGCCUGGGCGGGUGACCGGCCACAUUGGGACUGAGAUACGGCCCAGACUGCUACGGGAGGCAGCAGUGGGGAAUAUUGCAGAAUGGGCGGGAGCCUGAUGUGGCAACGCCGCGUGCGGGAUGACGGCCUUCGGGUUGUAAACCGCUGUCGCCUGUAACGAGGCGUGCGUGACGGUAAUGGGUAAAGAAGCACCGGCUAACUACGUG